ACGCCUUAUACAUGCAAGUCGAACGAAGUAGCAAUACUUAGUGGCAGACGGGUGAGUAACAUGUGGGUAUCUUCCCUUUGGUGAGGAAUAACACGAGGAAACUUGUGCUAAUACCUCAUAAGUCUUUACGGAGAAAGCUUUAUGCGCCGAAGGAUGAGCCCGCACUUGAUUAGUUUGUUGGUGGGGUAAUGGCCUACCAAGACUAUGAUCAAUAGCUGAUCUGAGAGGAUGAUCAGCCACAUUGGGACUGAGACACGGCCCAAACUCCUACGGGAGGCAGCAGUAGGGAAUAUUGCACAAUGGAGGAAACUCUGAUGCAGCGAUGCCGCGUGAGUGAAGAAGGCCUUUGGGUUGUAAAGCUCUUUCGUCGGGGAAGAAAAUGACUGUACCCGAAUAAGAAGGUCCGGCUAACUUCGUGCCAGCAGCCGCGGUAAUACGAAGGGACCUAGCGUAGUUCGGAAUUACUGGGCUUAAAGAGUUCGUAGGUGGUUAAAAUAGUUGGUUGUGAAAUCCCGGAGCUUAACUCCGGAACUGCAAUCAAAACUUUUUAGCUAGAGUAUGAUAGAGGAAAGCAGAAUUUCUAGUGUAGAGGUGAAAUUCGUAGAUAUUAGAAAGAAUACCAAUUGCGAAGGCAGCUUUCUGGAUCUUUACUGACACUGAGGAACGAAAGCAUGGGUAGCGAAGAGGAUUAGAUACCCUCGUAGUCCAUGCCGUAAACGAUGUGUGUUAGACGUUGGAAAUUUAUUUUCAGUGUCGCAGCGAAAGCAGUAAACACACCGCCUGGGGAGUAC
Molecule: ribosomal RNA, 791 nt
Filed under: uncultured Pelagibacteraceae bacterium
Lineage: Bacteria; Pseudomonadati; Pseudomonadota; Alphaproteobacteria; Candidatus Pelagibacterales; Candidatus Pelagibacteraceae
Description: bacterial SSU rRNA
Rfam family: Bacterial small subunit ribosomal RNA
Source: RNAcentral